AACGUGACCCCAGGUCAGGCGGGGCUACCCGCUGAAUUUAAGCAUAUCAAUAAGCGGAGGAAAAGAAACUAACAAGGAUUCCCCUA
RNAcentral lists this ribosomal RNA (86 nucleotides) under Adenolobus garipensis. RNAcentral describes it as "partial 26S ribosomal RNA". It matches the Rfam family "Eukaryotic large subunit ribosomal RNA", at positions 1 to 82 of the family's 3401-position model. Lineage: Eukaryota; Viridiplantae; Streptophyta; Magnoliopsida; Fabales; Fabaceae. The record is from RNAcentral.